Molecule: non-coding RNA, 73 nt
Organism: Collariella sp. IMI 366227
Lineage: Eukaryota; Fungi; Ascomycota; Sordariomycetes; Sordariales; Chaetomiaceae
Source: the annotation of a GenBank genome assembly
UCCUCUAUGGCGCAAUUGGCAGCGCGUCUGACUGUUAAUCAGGAGGUUGGAAGUUCGAACCUUCCUGGAGGAG